GUCCACGCUGUAAACGAUGUGUGCUAGACGUUGGGGGGUUGCCUCCCGGUGUCGCAGCCAACGCGUUAAGCACACCGCCUGGGGAGUACGGCCGCAAGGUUAAAACUCAAAGGAAUUGACGGGGGCCCGCACAAGCGGUGGAGCAUGUGGUUCAAUUCGACGCAACGCGAAGAACCUUACCAGCUCUUGACAUGGGUAGUAUGGGCCUGGGCGACUGGGCUCUUCAGUUCGGCUGGCUACCACACAGGUGCUGCAUGGCUGUCGU
This 265-nucleotide ribosomal RNA is filed under the name uncultured bacterium. RNAcentral's name for it is "partial 16S ribosomal RNA". It matches the Rfam family "Bacterial small subunit ribosomal RNA", at positions 793 to 1055 of the family's 1533-position model. The record is from RNAcentral.